CAAGGGAUUUUCCGCAAUGGGCGCAAGCCUGACGGAGCGACGCCGCGUGCGGGAUGACGUCCUUCGGGAUGUAAACCGCUUUUCGAGGGGAGGAGGACGGACAGUACCCUCGGAAGAAGCCCCGGCUAACUACGUGCCAGCAGCCGCGGUAAUACGUAGGGGGCGAGCGUUGUCCGGAAUUACUGGGCGUAAAGCGCGCGCAGGCGGUGGCCGGCGUCCGCGGUGAAAGCCCCCGGCUCAACCGGGGAGGGUCCGCGGAGACGGGGUCACUGGAGGGUGUCAGAGGGGGGUGGAAGGCCGGGUGGAGCGGUGAAAUGCGUAGAGAUCCGGCGGAACACCAGCGGUGAAGACGGCCCCCUGGGGCAACCCUGACGCUGAGGCGCGAAGGCCAGGGGAGCGAACGGG
RNAcentral lists this ribosomal RNA (405 nucleotides) under uncultured bacterium. RNAcentral describes it as "bacterial SSU rRNA". It matches the Rfam family "Bacterial small subunit ribosomal RNA", at positions 355 to 776 of the family's 1533-position model. The record is from RNAcentral.